RNAcentral lists this ribosomal RNA (294 nucleotides) under uncultured bacterium. RNAcentral describes it as "partial 16S ribosomal RNA". It matches the Rfam family "Bacterial small subunit ribosomal RNA", at positions 335 to 618 of the family's 1533-position model. The record is from RNAcentral.
ACUCCUACGGGAGGCAGGCAGUGGGGAAGUAUUGCACAAUGGGGGAAACCGUGCAUGCAGCCAUGCCGCGUGUGUGAAGAAGGCCUUCGGGUUGUAAAGCACUUUCAGUAGGGAGGAAGGUAGUGUAGUUAACACCUGCAUUAUUUGACGUUACCUACAGAAGAAGCACCGGCUAACUCCGUGCCAGCAGCCGCGGUAAUACGGAGGGUGCGAGCGUUAAUCGGAAUUACUGGGCGUAAAGCGCAUGCAGGCGGCCUGUUAAGUCAGAUGUGAAAGCCCGGGGCUUAACCUCGG